UGGAUUACAGAACAGGUGUUUCAAAUGU
This 28-nucleotide non-coding RNA is filed under the name Mus musculus (house mouse). The record is from RNAcentral. Lineage: Eukaryota; Metazoa; Chordata; Mammalia; Rodentia; Muridae.